GUCCAGACUCCUACGGGAGGCAGCAGUGAGGAAUAUUGGGCAAUGGGCGGGAGCCUGAACCAGCCAAGCCACGUGAAGGAAGAAGGCGCCAGGCGUCGUAAACUUCUUUUGUCGGGGAACAAAGGGCGCCACGCGUGGCGUUGUGAGUGUACCCGAAGAAAAAGCAUCGGCUAACUCCGUGCCAGCAGCCGCGGUAAUACGGAGGAUGCGAGCGUUAUCCGGAUUUAUUGGGUUUAAAGGGUGCGUAGGCGGGACGGUAAGUCAGCGGUAAAAAUGCGGAGCUCAACUCCGUCGAGCCGUUGAAACUGCCGUUCUUGAGUGAGCGAGAAGUAUGCGGAAUGCGUGGUGUAGCGGUGAAAUGCAUAGAUAUCACGCAGAACUCCGAUUGCGAAGGCAGCAUACCGGCGCUCAACUGACGCUGAAGCACGAAGGCGUGGGUAUCGAACAGGAUUAGAUACCCUCGUA
This 465-nucleotide ribosomal RNA is filed under the name uncultured bacterium. RNAcentral's name for it is "bacterial SSU rRNA". It matches the Rfam family "Bacterial small subunit ribosomal RNA", at positions 329 to 792 of the family's 1533-position model. The record is from RNAcentral.